Molecule: long non-coding RNA, 850 nt
Filed under: Volvox carteri
Lineage: Eukaryota; Viridiplantae; Chlorophyta; Chlorophyceae; Chlamydomonadales; Volvocaceae
Description: long non-coding RNA (VCAR_LNC004320)
Source: RNAcentral
CUAAUGGCUUUUGGUAGAAACCUAAGUGUCAAGCAAUUUAACAGCUGAAACAUGCCAGGUUCAUGCGACAAUAGCACUGAAGGCCGUCCUAGCUUAACGGAGAAUGUCUGCGUGGCCUGGCCCUUCGGAAGCUGCAGCUUUAGUAACUGUUGUGCCUAACGCAAGCUUGGGUAAAAGGCCUUCUACAAGAGCGGGUGGACAGGCUCAUUCGCAGCCAUCGGGAAGGACAUCUUUUCAUCUGGCAGAGGGUGGCACUAGACCAAACAGCACAGGCAAGCGUUGCGUUGCACGAAUAUGUAUUGUGUAUAUCAUGUCGUGCUGACGUGCAAUACGUUUUACCUAGUUACACAAGUGGGACAUUAUCAUGGUUCCUGCAGGGUUGUCGAUCGACGCGCAUGAAGACGAUGGCGUUGUUCUGCGUGCAACGCAUUCCAGCCAGUCUGGACAUCCCAGGGACAGUACUCUGAGGAAAAGCAAAGAUGGCAGGUAUGCUCUAUCGCCAUGUUGCUUAUUUGUUGAGCAAACACAAUCUUCCUCUUAAAAAAUGUCUAGCUAAUAGAACUAAAAGCUCGCUGUUCUUCGAAGCCCGUAGCUGAAUAGUCACGACCCCUCGUUAACCCAAGGGACCAAAACCAACCCGCGCCCUGUGUCCCUCUACCCUGCCGCUCCCCCAUCCUCCCGUUCGCAACCCCUCCCUUCCCCCAGCAGACCCGCAUCCCGCCCAAGCGCCACCAUUCAAUCACCCUACCUUCAGCCUCCCGGCGGCAGAGCCGCCCAAAACUCUAUCCAUCGUCCCGCCAGUCGCCAACAGUCCCAGCAGUCACCGCAACCCCAGCACCCCCAGCCGCAN